Molecule: long non-coding RNA, 3484 nt
Filed under: Sorghum bicolor (sorghum)
Lineage: Eukaryota; Viridiplantae; Streptophyta; Magnoliopsida; Poales; Poaceae
Description: long non-coding RNA (SBIC_LNC000640)
Source: RNAcentral
CCCAAGAUUUGACACCGAAUACAUCAUAAUUGUAAACCAUACAUACAUACUUAAUAGGCAAAGAUGAAGUCUGAACACAAGGUCUACCAAAGAUGAAAAAAAUUAGAGGCAUUGUAAAUUGACUAGGAUCUAGAGCAAAAAUGCAAAUGAUCCUACAAUGCAUGUGAGGUGGGCCUUGAACAUGCAUUGUACUUGAAAUGAUCUACAAUUUCUUUGAAAGGAAAUCCACAGAACAAAUCAUAAUGUGAUAGUCCCAGGAGAUCAUACCAUCACAUUAUCAAAAUCCAGCUGAUAACGCAGUUCAUAUGUAUCGAAUACCUGUUACAUCGUUAAUUAGCAGAAUCACACAUCACAUAGAACAACAUCAAGUAGAUGCGUAGCGCCUUAGGGGUGAAUACUCCAUCUCCACAAGCAGACUCAAACAUAGGACAAGACCCUCUAAUAGUCGUACUUAGGCUUAUCACCCAUUAAAUAAUUUUUAGUACAAUUUAUAUUGGCUAGUGACUCCCAUACCAUGCUUUGCUUUGCUUUACGGAAAGUUGUUUGCAAGGGUAAGAGAAAAGAACCUACUAUUUGGCCGUGGUUUCCUAUGCAAAUUUUAUCAUUAUGUACUAGUUAUUCUCAAGUUUUAACCGAUCCACCCCAUCCAUAAUCCACACAAUCACACCACACUCUUACAUCUCACCACCACGCUCUCUAGUUGACAUUGCCUCAACGUCCUUGGGCCAGAUCCUUAUCCAACCCAAGGGGAAGAGAAGAAGACACCACUCUGGCACUCUCUAGUCAAGUGAAGUGAGAAACAUAGGAAUGUCCAUAACUGUGUACAUGAUUAUACAUAUAAAUCGAUCAACUCUGCAGAGGGAUGCACCUGUACCCACAAGAUCACCAUCAUUUGCGGCGCCCCGCCUAGGCUAAUUCUGAGCUGCCAUCCAACUGGUACGAUACCACCCUACAACUCAGCUUUGAGUCACCCCGUAGGCACGCUGAGAUUGUGAAACAUAGUACCCAGCCUCUCACUGGUCACCAUGUGAUCUCAGGAGGGUUAGAGGAUACACCCUUACCUCUCCUUACACUAUCACCUACAUCCUAUAUAUGCAAUAGUGGUAUCACCUUAGCUAGAUCAUAUCCGUCUCCCGCUUGAAUGAGAGCGAGUGGCAUGUAAGAAGGCUCUUAUGGACCGGUUCUCCCAACUCAGUCUUUAGUAGGACCUGACAAUAUCUCUCCUCAAGUGGGAAGCUCUUCCUCCCAUUUAAUAAAAGAGAUCCCGUCUCCAAAAAACAAAAUAUUUCAUCCUCUAACAUUAUUCAACCGUGAAUGAGUUUAGCCAUUCGAAAAACACGCUCUUAGUACCUAGAUCACACUUCACCAUAAAGUGUUAGAGAAACGUUCAAAUACUACUCAAUAAAGAGAUUCAAGCUUCCAUCCUAUUUCUACUUCCCCAAUCCCCAUCCAAAUUAAAGUUGAAGAGGUCUGAUCAUCAUGAUCCGUGAGGUUAUCUACCAGAUGAUGAAGUUAGUUGCAACUACAACCAUAUCACAUUAGACCUUGUUCCGAAAAUCAUGGCUUUUCUGCUAGAUUUAUUAGCAACCUUUUGAAAUCUUACGCAUAAAACUCUUCAACACUAACCACACAUGUUGUGGUGCCGCCGAAGACUAGCAUAAAAACUAGCCGCCACACCUGUAGCACAAAUUAAAUUAGUCUAAGAAAAACUAUGGCUGCUACAACUGAUGUGUUAAACUAAAUGGUAGCCAAACUCUUGUGGCAACCGUAUGCAUAACUUGGCAAAGUUUGACUGUGACCAAAACACCGCGGCAAUGAAACAAGAGUUUGCACGAGACGCCCACAUGUUUGGUACACUAUUACCGUACUCUCUUCAUUCACAAAAAAAUAUAAUGAUGGGAUUCGUGCCGGUCAACUUUGACCAAGUUUAUAGUAAAUAAUAUUAGUAUUUAUUUAAAUAAAUUUGUGAUGAAAAUAUAUUCUAUAGUUAAUCUAAUAGUACUUAUUUUGUAUAAAACAUUAUUAGUAUUUUAAUAUAAUUUCUAUCUAAGUUUAAAAUGAUUGACUCUUUGAUAAAUGAGAAUUAUGUUCUUUUGUGGAGUUACAACUUUUGGACUCAAACCCACAUUGGCUCAACCCAGACGUCACUUUGCUUAGGUUGGGCCCAGCCAUGUGUGUGUGUGCGUGUUUGCAGUUGCACCAGAUAGAAGCAGCCUAUGCGUUGUCAAAAAAAAAAAAAAAAACAGCCGAUGUAUCAUGGUCAUGGUCAUGGAUGACGCAUCCAACAAAUUCAGGUACAACUCAUGUGUCAUGUGUGUGCAGAAGCGCGAGUUGGAUACAGACAAUAACCGUCCCAGAACCUAGUACCCCUGUCGUGUCCUGUUCUACAAUUUAUCUUCCAAUAAAUAAUUAAAAUUAAUAGUAUAUACAUGGUCCCUGUUUAGUGACAGGUGGAAUGUCAUAUAUAGCGUUUGGAUACUAAUAAAAAAACAAAAUACAUAAUCUAUCCGUUAUAAAACGAAUUUAUUAAACCUAACUAAUCUAUUAUUAAUAUAUGUGUUAUUGUAACAUUUUAUUAUUAAAUUAUGUACUAAUUAGAUUUAAAAGAUUUGUCUCAAAAUAGUUCGUGAAAUUUUUUUUAAGAAACUAAACAAGGUUAAUCAACUAUGCGUUGUGCAUGUGCUUAGCCACUUAGUGUUCAAGUGAAUUUUGGUCGGGACUCGGGAGCAUCUUUUCCUUGCACUGGACUCGAGAUGCUUUUUGGUACGACGGUAAAAGUAUAUCUAGUAAUUAUUAAGAUCCCAGACUUAGCAAUUAACAUGUGUGUUUAUAUUUUCUAUAAAUUUAUCUCAUAUUCAUAAAGAAACAGUGGUAGGCAACGAUGGUUAUUAGUUAUUAAUAUUAGCAACGAGGUACCUGAGUUACCAACAUGCUUAAGGUUUUUUUUGUCUUUAAUAGAAUUCAUAGAAAAUUACAAAUAUUUGUGAUAUCAAUGAGCACAUUAUAAAAAUACAGUGUAUGGUGUCUAAUAAUGAUACUAUUUGGUGUCAAAAGUCUUGUUUUGCGGACUGGUCAUAAAUUAGCUAAUUGAGUUCCUCGUGGUGGAACUUGUCCACCAAGAUUUAAGUCCUCGACUUGGUAUGAGUGUUCAUAUUUUCCUCAAUUUAUUCUAGGAUUUAACGGCGCUAUGAUUUCAGUGGUAGGUGACAUCCCGUUGAUAGCGAGGCGCCUGUGGUGACUUCAUAAAUCUCGUGAUUUGCUGGCUCAGUCCUUCGAAGGUACUCAUAGGGGUAGAAUUUGCAUACGUAUAUUUAUAAAAGGUGAGUGUGCAUGCGUUGUACUAUAUAAUUCUUAAAAAAAACUCAGUGUAUUUUCUAAAAUUUAAUUAAACAUAAAAAUUCAACUCUAAGAAUUUAUCUAUUCAAGAACAAAGGGAGUACAUACGUUCAAAAAAAGGUGAAUAUAGUUAUGUGUGUAUGACCCU